UACGGAGGGUGCAAGCGUUGCUCGGAAUCACUGGGCGUAAAGCGACCGCAGGCGGUCUGACAAGUCGGAUGUGAAAGCCCUGGGCUCAACUCAGGAAUAGCAUUCGAAACUGGCAGACUUGAGUACGGGAGAGGGGGGUGGAAUUCCUGGUGUAGGGGUGAAAUUCGUUGAUAUCAGGAGGAACACCGGCGGCGAAGGCGGCCCCCUGGCCCGCAACUGACGCUCAUGGUCGAAAGCGUGGGGAGCAAACAGG
This 253-nucleotide ribosomal RNA is filed under the name uncultured bacterium. RNAcentral's name for it is "partial 16S ribosomal RNA". It matches the Rfam family "Bacterial small subunit ribosomal RNA", at positions 524 to 776 of the family's 1533-position model. The record is from RNAcentral.